This 424-nucleotide ribosomal RNA is filed under the name Verrucomicrobiota bacterium. RNAcentral's name for it is "Verrucomicrobia bacterium partial 16S ribosomal RNA". It matches the Rfam family "Bacterial small subunit ribosomal RNA", at positions 355 to 776 of the family's 1533-position model. Lineage: Bacteria; Pseudomonadati; Verrucomicrobiota. The record is from RNAcentral.
UGAGGAAUAUUGGUCAAUGGACGAGAGUCUGAACCAGCCAAGUAGCGUGCAGGAUGACGGCCCUAUGGGUUGUAAACUGCUUUUGUUUGGGAAUAAUCGACAUUACGUGUAAUGUUUUGCAUGUACCAUUCGAAUAAGGACCGGCUAAUUCCGUGCCAGCAGCCGCGGUAAUACGGAAGGUCCAGGCGUUAUCCGGAUUUAUUGGGUUUAAAGGGAGUGUAGGCGGUUGGUUAAGCGUGUUGUGAAAUAUACCGGCUCAACCGGUGGCUUGCAGCGCGAACUGGUCGACUUGAGUAUGCAGGAAGUAGGCGGAAUUCAUGGUGUAGCGAUGAAAUGCUUAGAUAUCAUGACGAACUCCGAUUGCGCAGGCAGCUUACUGUAGCAUAACUGACGCUGAUGCUCGAAAGUGCGGGUAUCAAACAGG